GAACAACCAGUGAGGGAGAAAAGUAGCUGGAACUACACGUGGAAAGAGAUGAAAUGCCUUGGCUGAAAGCAUUUCUCCAUGAUGAUCCAAUGAACGAACACUCCUUAGGUUUCUUUCUGAAAAGCAGGAGCUUAGUAGGAUAAGGACGCAGCCGGCGUUAAAGGUUAUGAGCGGAAGCCUGAAUCAUGAGGCUUCAACUAGGGUGGAACCACGGGUAUUAACUCUCGUCCCUGCG
This 235-nucleotide non-coding RNA is filed under the name Bacillus sp. (in: firmicutes). RNAcentral's name for it is "Bacillus sp. T-box sequence". It matches the Rfam family "T-box leader". From Rfam's summary of the family: Uncharged tRNA acts as the effector for transcription antitermination of genes in the T-box leader family. T-boxes are found upstream of many aminoacyl-tRNA synthetase genes and some amino acid biosynthetic genes usually in Gram-positive bacteria. The anticodon of a specific tRNA base pairs to a specifier sequence within the T-box motif, and the NCCA acceptor tail of the tRNA base pairs to a conserved bulge in the T-box antiterminator hairpin. The record is from RNAcentral. Lineage: Bacteria; Bacillati; Bacillota; Bacilli; Caryophanales; Bacillaceae.